Non-coding RNA from Pelobates cultripes (western spadefoot toad), 292 nucleotides. The record is from the annotation of a GenBank genome assembly. NCBI's taxonomy places the organism in Eukaryota, Metazoa, Chordata, Amphibia, Anura, Pelobatidae.
UGCACUUUAAAAGUGCAGCUUUACCUUUUAUUUGUGGAUUCUAGUACACUUUUACUAAAUCAAUCAACAAUAAGGCAAUAACCACAACUUACACAAGCCUAUUCUGGCAGAAACACGAGCCCCUAAUAUGGGGGUGUUUGUCACUUAUUUAGAUGUUUUGCCUUGUGUUUGUUAUAAUCUGUGAGGUUUAAUAAAACAUUUGUGUAUCUCGUAGGAGCAAUCUAGUGUGCAAUCUCUUCUUUAUUAUAGAGUAACCCUUCUAUCACAAGUCCUGGUUUUUGAUAAAAUCUUG